ACGGAGGGUGCAAGCGUUGUUCGGAAUCACUGGGCGUAAAGCGCGUGUAGGCGGCUUGACAAGUCGAAUGUGAAAGCCCGGGGCUCAACCUCGGAAGUGCAUUCGAAACUGUCAGGCUUGAGUACGGGAGAGGGAAGUGGAAUUCCUGGUGUAGGGGUGAAAUGCGUAGAAAUGAGGAGGAACAGCGAAAGCGAAGGCAGCAAACUGGACUAAUACCGACGCUGAGACGCGAAAGCGCGGGGAGCACAAAG
This 251-nucleotide ribosomal RNA is filed under the name uncultured prokaryote. Its description in RNAcentral is "partial 16S rRNA". It matches the Rfam family "Bacterial small subunit ribosomal RNA", at positions 525 to 775 of the family's 1533-position model. The record is from RNAcentral.